This 497-nucleotide ribosomal RNA is filed under the name uncultured bacterium. Its description in RNAcentral is "partial 16S ribosomal RNA". It matches the Rfam family "Bacterial small subunit ribosomal RNA", at positions 28 to 507 of the family's 1533-position model. The record is from RNAcentral.
GAUGAACGCUGGCGGCGUGCCUAAUACAUGCAAGUCGAGCGAACAGACGAGGAGCUUGCUCCUCUGACGUUAGCGGCGGACGGGUGAGUAACACGUGGAUAACCUACCUAUAAGACUGGGAUAACUUCGGGAAACCGGAGCUAAUACCGGAUAAUAUAUUGAACCGCAUGGUUCAAUAGUGAAAGACGGUUUUGCUGUCACUUAUAGAUGGAUCCGCGCCGCAUUAGCUAGUUGGUAAGGUAACGGCUUACCAAGGCAACGAUGCGUAGCCGACCUGAGAGGGUGAUCGGCCACCCGGGAACUGAGACACGGUCAAGACUCCUACGGGAGGCAGCAGUAGGGAAUCUUCCGCAAUGGGCGAAAGCCUGACGGAGCAACGCCGCGUGAGUGAUGAAGGUCUUCGGAUCGUAAAACUCUGUUAUUAGGGAAGAACAAAUGUGUAAGUAACUAUGCACGUCUUGACGGUACCUAAUCAGAAAGCCACGGCUAACUACGUG